RNAcentral lists this ribosomal RNA (459 nucleotides) under uncultured bacterium. RNAcentral's name for it is "partial 16S ribosomal RNA". It matches the Rfam family "Bacterial small subunit ribosomal RNA", at positions 338 to 795 of the family's 1533-position model. The record is from RNAcentral.
CCUACGGGUGGCAGCAGUGAGGAAUAUUGGUCAAUGGGAGAGAUCCUGAACCAGCCAAGCCGCGUGAGGGAAGACGGCCCUAUGGGUUGUAAACCUCUUUUGUCUGAGAAUAAAAUCCGGGACGUGUCCCGGACUGCGUGUAUCCGAAGAAAAAGCAUCGGCUAACUCCGUGCCAUCAGCCGCGGUAAUACGGGGGAUGCGAGCGUUAUCCGGAUUUAUUGGGUUAAAGGGGUGCGUAGGCGGUCCGUUAAGUCAGCGGGAAAAUUGCGGGGCUAAACCCCAUCGAGCCGUUGAAACUGGCAGACUUGAGUUGGCGAGAGGUACGCGGAAUGCGCGGUGUAGCGGUGAAAUGCAUAGAUAUCGCGCAGAACUCCGAUUGCGAAGGCAGCGUACCGGCGCAAGACUGACGCUGAGGCACGAAAGCGUGGGGAUCGAACAGGAUUAGAUACCCGGGUAGUC